AGAGUGAACGCUGGCGGUAGGCCUAACACAUGCAAGUCGAACGGCAGCACAGUGGUAGCAAUACCAUGGGUGGCGAGUGGCGGACGGGUGAGGAAUACAUCGGAAUCUACCUUUUCGUGGGGGAUAACGUAGGGAAACUUACGCUAAUACCGCAUACGCCCUUCGGGGGAAAGCCGGGGAUCGCAAGACCUGGCGCGGAUAGAUGAGCCGAUGUCGGAUUAGCUAGUUGGUGAGGUAAUGGCUCACCAAGGCGACGAUCCGUAGCUGGUCUGAGAGGAUGAUCAGCCACACUGGAACUGAGACACGGUCCAAGACUCCUACGGGAGCAGCAGG
Molecule: ribosomal RNA, 333 nt
Filed under: uncultured soil bacterium
Lineage: Bacteria
Description: bacterial SSU rRNA
Rfam family: Bacterial small subunit ribosomal RNA
Source: RNAcentral